RNAcentral lists this ribosomal RNA (254 nucleotides) under uncultured bacterium. RNAcentral describes it as "partial 16S ribosomal RNA". It matches the Rfam family "Bacterial small subunit ribosomal RNA", at positions 524 to 776 of the family's 1533-position model. The record is from RNAcentral.
UACGUAGGGUGCGAGCGUUAAUCGGAAUUACUGGGCGUAAAGGGCUCGUAGGCGGCCAACUAAGUCGGAUGUGAAAUCCCCAGGCUUAACCUGGGAACUGCAUCCGAUACUGGAUGGCUUGAAUCCGGGAGAGGGAUGCAGAAUUCCAGGUGUAGCGGUGAAAUGCGUAGAUAUCUGGAGGAAUACCGGUGGCGAAGGCGGCAUCCUGGACCGGCAUUGACGCUGAGUGAGCGAAAGCCAGGGGAGCAAACGGG